This 191-nucleotide unclassified non-coding RNA is filed under the name uncultured Agaricomycetes. RNAcentral describes it as "sequence contains ITS2". The record is from RNAcentral. Lineage: Eukaryota; Fungi; Basidiomycota; Agaricomycetes.
AAUCUUCAACCUAUAAACCUUUGCGGCUUUGUAGGCUUGGACUUGGAGGCUUGUCGGCCUAACGGUCGGCUCCUCUUAAAUGCAUUAGCUUGAUUCCUUGCGGAUCGGCUCUCGGUGUGAUAAUUGUCUACGCCGCGACCGUGAAGCGUUUGGCGAGCUUCUAAUCGUCUCUUAUGAGACAACACAUUGAC